UACGAAGGGGGCUAGCGUUGCUCGGAAUCACUGGGCGUAAAGCGCACGUAGGCGGACUCUUAAGUCGGUGGUGAAAUCCUGGAGCUCAACUCCAGAACUGCCUUCGAUACUGGGAGUCUCGAGUUCGGGAGAGGUGAGUGGAACUGCGAGUGUAGAGGUGAAAUUCGUAGAUAUUCGGAGGAACACCAGUGGCGAAGGCGGCUCACUGGUCCGGUACUGACGCUGAGGUGCGAAAGCGUGGGGAGCAAACAGG
Molecule: ribosomal RNA, 253 nt
Filed under: uncultured bacterium
Lineage: Bacteria
Description: partial 16S ribosomal RNA
Rfam family: Bacterial small subunit ribosomal RNA
Source: RNAcentral